Molecule: long non-coding RNA, 2768 nt
Organism: Onychomys torridus (southern grasshopper mouse)
Lineage: Eukaryota; Metazoa; Chordata; Mammalia; Rodentia; Cricetidae
Exons: 3
Source: RefSeq, a predicted model, not a curated record
CAACCGCUGCUGUUCAGGAUGGUGAGCUGGGUGGACAGAGAUGGGCACUUAGACAGUGCCUGGCACCCACUGAGCACCACACAAGUCCUUGACACCGGUGGGAUUAUUUCCAAAUUGGUUCUCUAGAUUUUACACAUGGAGGCAGCAAGGUAUGGAGUUGCUAGGAGCAGGGACCUGAUAAGCCCUCCCUAGGGCCUCAGUACCAGAAGGUGGAAGAAGAUGGAAGUGGACUAGAGGAAGGAGAAGUCAAAAGAAGAUGCCCUUUGGGAUGUUGCAAACUUGUAAGGAUUUUGCUGACACAGUCCUUUCUGCACGUCUCCUCAGUGUAUCUAGUGCCAGCUGUGAUGAGUCUGAAGCCAGCUUUGAAGAGAAAAUGAAAAGCAGUUGAAAUUAGCCAGUGGAAUCCAGUCUGGAGUUCUAUUUUUAUUCCUUCCCUGUUGAGGCCAGGGGUAGAAAGUUUGAUUCAAAUGCCUGAUGUGUUUCUCCUGCCUUGCCUUUAAUUGGUUUUGUCGGCUUCAUUUGAUUUUGUUUUGAUUGGAGUCCUGCUGCAUAGUCUGGGCUUUCUCUUCAUAUGAUGCAAUGUGCCAAAGAUGGAGUUAUCCUGACUACAUCCACUGCCUAAUGGGCCAGAUAUUCCCUCCUUUGCCUCAAUUUACAUUAUAGCCACAUCUGGCAGACUGUAUAACAUCCCAUUUUGCUUAUUGCAGUAGGGGGUGUAAGCAUUUUGAAAGCCGAAACAAAAAUACAAAUGUAAAUUGUUACUAUAGGUAAUAAUACAUAGUUCUUAGGGAAAGUUUAUGUAGCUAUUUGCUGGUAAGUUACCAGCAGAUCCGGGUUUUGUUGUUUUUUUUUGUGGUGUGUAAUUAGAUGGCUAUAGGUGUCAUUAUAAAAUGGCACCUCUAGUUUUUGGUGGUUUGAUACAUCUGUAGUUUUAAUAUAGUUCUUCUUCUUUAGUACAUGGUCCCAGAUGAAGACCAGCUUUGAUUUUUCUGUUUUCCAGAUUAAGAUAUGACAUGCCACCUUAAUCAACUCCAUAUAGCAGAAAUAAUCUUUUUUCUUAAAGUGUUACUAAGUUGACAGGUUGGAAUGAACUAUUUUGUAUUCUGUUUAAAGAUUAAAGACUUCACCGUGCUUUGAGGAGUGGGAGUUGAGAGAGUAGCCAUUUCUAAAGUACAUCAGGCCAUGCUGUUACAGCUGAUUGUAACAUGCAGGGUUGUGGAGAACAUGUUUGUGUGGCAACCAAAUUAUUGUCCUUUCAGUGUAAUCCUACUGAAAAGAGUAUUUGGGCCAGCAAGAUGGUUCAGUGGGUAAAAGCUUUAUUUUUUUCAAGGAUCUAUGUAACUAUUUUUUCAGUUGAAUUCCUUAAGAUCUGACCAUAGGUAACAACUAAUAUGGUAACGAAUGCAGUGGUCCCUUACUUAUUAUAUGAACAAAUGGAGAGAGCUUUUGUCUGUCUUAUUUUAAGUAUUAUGACUUACAGUCAGAGGGGCACUACCAUGAGAACCUUGAUGGCCACAAAAGAAAAUCAUGAGCAAGCCCUCAACAAUGGGAAGGCUAAAGCCAGAAAACCAUGUGGACCAGUAAAUAGCCCGUAGUUAUAUAGGAAAACAUGAGGACAUGAUAUGUUUAGGGAACCCCACAUUUCUAUAAGAUAUCUCAAGUUUUUAUUCUACCUCUUGUCUUAUUAAUACAAUAAGAUUUCUAAAAUCAAACAAACUAAACACCACAGAAAGGAUGUAGAAAAAAAUCAAAACCCCCAAAGAUUUUAUGUAUCUGGGUCCAUUUUUGCUUUCAUCUUUGUUCUUCUUCAUUAUGAGAAGAAAGGGAAGAAGAGAGAAGCACAGUCAGUCUUCAUCAAGAUUCAUUGUCAGAUGAAAUUAGGAAAGAUUUGGCACUGGAGAUGUAGUUCAUUGGUUAGAGCACUUGCCUGGCAUGCAGGAGACCCUGGCUUUGGUCCUGAGUAAACCACCUAUCCCACCCCUGACACACACAAAGUUUUACAGGAAUCCCAUCUCCUAUUUCUUUCAAAAAAAGUAAAAUCCAAAUAAAACCAAAGGAGCUAUGUGAGUGUUUAUAGACACUUAUCUGUGUGGAUGAAGACAGGGCACCCCAGGUAGCCAGUCGCCAGAGAUAAUUGCAACAGAGAUCUGGAAACUGCUGCUGCCACCUCUGGUGGUGGGAUCCCAGCAGCUUGCAGAAUCAGGAAAGGACACACAAGGAGACCAUUGUCGGCCUUGUAUUAGGACUUUCCAUCCCGGGAACAAACAGCUGUCCUCAUAGAUAGAGCUGUCUUUGUCAUCCUGUCCAUCUGUGCUCAGAUUGAAAACAUGUAACUCACAAGAUGAGGUUUGGUUGCUGAGCCUUAAAGAGGGAAGGUUUCUUAAGAAGGCACGGUGAGUGCCUGAAAAAGUAGGCAGUGAGUUUGAGUAUAAUCAAGAGAUUUUUCUAACUCAGGUGCCUAAAAAAAAAAAAAAAAAAAAAGUUGGGACCUGCUGUCGUUGUUUAUCUUAGAAGUCACUACAAUUUUUUGUCCCUAGCUACUUCCAAACACAUCAGGGUUGAAAGUGGAGAAGUCCUGUUUUUUCAAGUUUGUAGAAGUUGGAAAGAGAUCCUCAAAUGGUUCAAGAAUAUAGCUAUCCCCUUUAGAGUUACUUUAGAUCCUCCAACCAAGUCUGAAAGGCAUGCAGGAAUCCAGGCAACCAAGAAGCUAGACAAGAUUUCUCCGGUUUUCCAGCUACUGCUGUUACCUCCUUCACACACACACACAC